AUUACCCAAUCCUGAUUCAGGGGAGGUAGUGACAAGAACUAACGAUACGGGGCUUUAAGAAAGUCGACGUAAUCGGAAUGAGUACAAUUUAAAUCCCAUGACGAGGAUCCGUUGGAGGGCAAGCCUGGUGCCAGCAGCCGCGGUAAUUCCAGCUCCAAUAGCGUAUAUUAAAGUUGUUGCAGUUAAAAAGCUCGUAGUUGGAUUUCGGGUGGCAUCGGUGGGUCCGCCGCAAGGCAACUGGCCGGUGCGUCCUUCCUGGCGCAGACGCUGCGUGCUCUUAGCUGAGUGUGCAGGGGAUUCGUCACGUUUACUUUGAAAAAAUUAGAGUGUUCAAAGCAGGCCGGCGCUUGGAUACAUAAGCAUGGAAUAAUGGAAUAGGACUCCGGUUCUAUUUUGUUGGUUUCUGGAUCGGGAGUAAUGAUUGAUAGGGACGGUUGGGGGCAUUCGUACUUCGUUGUCAGAGGUGAAAUUCUUGGAUUUACGAAAGACGGACUACUGCGAAAGCAUUUGCCAAGAACGUUUUCAUUAAUCAAGAACGAAAGUUAGAGGCUCGAAGACGAUCAGAUACCGUCCUAGUUCUAACCGUAAACGAUGCCGACUAGGGAUCGGAGGGUGUCAUUUUGUUGACCCCUUCGGCACCUUGUGGGAAACC
This 652-nucleotide ribosomal RNA is filed under the name Ceriantheopsis americana. RNAcentral's name for it is "SSU rRNA". It matches the Rfam family "Eukaryotic small subunit ribosomal RNA", at positions 440 to 1099 of the family's 1831-position model. The record is from RNAcentral. Lineage: Eukaryota; Metazoa; Cnidaria; Anthozoa; Spirularia; Cerianthidae.